UACGAAGGGGGCUAGCGUUGUUCGGAAUUACUGGGCGUAAAGCGCACGUAGGCGGAUUUGUAAGUCAGGGGUGAAAUCCCGGGGCUCAACCUCGGAACUGCCUUUGAUACUGCAAGUCUCGAGUCCGAUAGAGGUGAGUGGAAUUCCUAGUGUAGAGGUGAAAUUCGUAGAUAUUAGGAAGAACACCAGUGGCGAAGGCGGCUCACUGGAGCGGUACUGACGCUGAGGUGCGAAAGCGUGGGGAGCAAACAGG
Molecule: ribosomal RNA, 253 nt
Filed under: uncultured bacterium
Lineage: Bacteria
Description: partial 16S ribosomal RNA
Rfam family: Bacterial small subunit ribosomal RNA
Source: RNAcentral